AGUGAACGCUGGCGGCAGGCCUAACACAUGCAAGUCGAGCGGCAGCGCGGGGGCAACCCUGGCGGCGAGCGGCGGACGGGUGAGGAAUUCGUCGGAAUCUGCCUUUUUGUGGGGGAUAACGUAGGGAAACUUACGCUAAUACCGCAUACGUCCUACGGGAGAAAGUGGGGGACCGCAAGGCCUCACGCAGAAAGAUGAGCCGACGACCGAUUAGCUAGUUGGUGGGGUAAAGGCCCACCAAGGCGACGAUCGGUAGCUGGUCUGAGAGGAUGAUUAGCCACACUGGGACUGAGACACGGCCCAGACUCCUACGGGAGGCAGCAGUGGGGAAUAUUGGACAAUGGGCGCAAGCCUGAUCCAGCCAUGCCGCGUGUGUGAAGAAGGCCUUCGGGUUGUAAAGCACUUUUGUCCGGAAAGAAAUCCCUGGAGCUAAUACCUUCGGGGGAUGACGGUACCGGAAGAAUAAGCACCGGCUAACUUCGUG
This 484-nucleotide ribosomal RNA is filed under the name uncultured bacterium. RNAcentral's name for it is "partial 16S ribosomal RNA". It matches the Rfam family "Bacterial small subunit ribosomal RNA", at positions 29 to 507 of the family's 1533-position model. The record is from RNAcentral.